ACAAGAACCAAGAUAUAUCAUGUACAGAUACAAAUUCCCAAUGAUGAAUGUGAUCAUAAUGUUCACCUAAAAUGAACCAAUAAAUUUAAUGAAUAAAAAGAAAACAGGAAAAUUCAUCAGCCAAGGGAAAAAAAUCAAAGUCUUGAUUUAUGACCUGAAUGCCAGCUGCUUGUACUUCCAGAUGGUUUCAGAUGGAGAUUUAACCCUUAAAGAGUUCUGGAAGGAACAUUUCAACAUCCUUUCCUGUUUGCGGUUAAUUGAGAAAUCCUGGCCCAAUGUCUCUCUAAGGACACUGAGGUCUGCCUUUGUACAGGAGAAGGACUUUGAAGGCUGUGUAGAGUGGAGCCUGAGCACUCAAUUGACCAACUUGCAUUACAACCAGCCCUCAGGAAAAAAUUGAGUUUGUAAGUCAAGUGUCCACUGUUUCUAAUUUGCUCUAGAUUCUCCUGGCCAUUCAAGAGAUAAAUGCUUCCCUAAUCCUCCCUCGUUCCCACCUGGAUUUUGCAUCUGCCUGGGGACCCUGAGCUCCUUAAUGCAGAAGGCUUGAUCUCUGAUACACUUGAGGAACACAUCUCUGGGGUUUUUACAUUAUUCAAACCAGUGCCAAUACAGAGCAGAGAACAUUUCUGUUCUCCCACGGGUGGAAACACAAUUUACAUUCACUUUCCAGGCCUACUUCAAAAUGAUGCACUUCCUAAUCUUUUGAGAGGUAGGAGGAUUUGUAUAUUUCUCAAUGAUUUACAUGAAAUGAUAUUUUUGUUUUUCAAAUUAACAUGUACAUGUAACAGCAGUGAGAGUCAGGAUGUGGAAAUUAUUUUGGGUCUCACUCUAGCAUGCCAUAGGCAUCCACCCCCAUGCUGGGACGUGUCACUUGGGAGCCCUGGGGAAUCACCUGGGGAGUCCCCAGGCCACAGCCAGUCCUGGGAGAUCAGCUCAGAUGAACCUCCAGGUCGGGUGUGGAGCCCACACAGUUGGCCAGAUGGGCAGCUGGGUGACAACUAGGUUUCAUUUAAUUUACAGUCUUCCAGACUCAAGAGAAUUUUACUCAUCAAGUUACAAAGUUUGACAAUUAAUUAGUAAAGUAGGCAAAAGGGAAACCUGCACUUAAAACCAGAGCUGGGAAAAGAGAUAGUUACCUUGGGUGGAUUCCAAAAUCUGGAGGUGGGAGACACGUGGUUUUCACAAUUCCAUGGUCCUGAAGCUCAACAGGGUCCCAAGAAAAGGGUGGAGUGAAUGUGUGCACACGUGUGUAUGCUUGUGUGUAUGAGUAUGUGUGCAUGUGUGUAUAAACAUACAUGCAUGGGUGCUUGCCAAUGUGUGUGUAUAUUCACCUGUAUGUGCAUGCCUAUGUGUAUGUGCAUGCUUGUGAGUGUGUGUAUGCAUGUUACAUGUGGGCAGAAGAGUGUGUGGUGUGUGCAUGUGCUUCCAGGUGUGCAUGUUGUGUGGAUAUGAGUGUGCAAAUGUGUGUACAGGCUAUGAGCACAUAAGCAUGUGUGUGCAUGUAGCAGGGAUCUCAAAACUGGGCAAAGCCUCUGCCUCUGUCCAUGGCUGGCACAGGCUGAGCUUUUGCAGUGCUCUGCUGACUCUGGGGUCCUUGGUUUGCAGUUGUUUCUGAUACUCACAGUGAGUUUUGAAAGGCUUAUGGCAAAUAUCAGUUUGAUUUCUAGAAUUUUUAACUCAUUUUCUAUUAACUGUGUCAGAAGACAGUUUACAAUGAAGACUUUUAUUUUCUUUCCUUCAGGCCACUGAUUUGAUCUGAACCACAAAAAGGCAAAGUUUAUUUUGUGCGUGUACCCUAGAAUUCAUCACCACUGCUGCUGGUACUAAGUUAUGCUCACUCCAAGAGCCUCUCUGGGUGGGCCCAUGUAGGUGCAGGUCACAUCCACUUAUGGCUCAUGUUCAUGUUCUUGUCACUUUUAACUAAAUCUUAAGUGUGAACCUGCCACAUUCACCAAUGUCCCUCUUGUCACAUGCUCUGUAACAUAAAGACUAAAUUACAGGCCCUUAAAAAAGGAGAGCCUGUGGCCUACCACCCUGCACAAUAGUGUAGCUCAGGAAUGGAGAACUUGCCUAACUUCCACAGGGUCCUGGGUUUGAUCUCCAGCACAGAAAGUGGGGGAAAAAAGUAAAGAACAGGCUUUGGGCAACUAAAUGCUUUCCCUCUUCAUAUCCUUUUUCCUCUACUACUCCUAUCAUUCAUUUAUUUCCUUAAUUAAUUUUCUGCUGUUUGCAGUGUCCAGCUCAGAACUGGUACCAGGGACAUAGUGAUUGUGUUAGUCAGCUUUUUUUUUUUUUACUGUAACAAAUUACCUGAGGUAAUCAACUUAAAGAGAGAGAAGGUUUAUUUGCACUUAGGGUUUCAGAGAUGAUGAAUCAGCCCAGUUGCUUUUGGCCUGUGAUGAGGCAGCACAACAUGGCAAGAGGACUUCAUAGAGCUCAGCUUCUUACCUCAUGGCCAGGAAGUGAAGGAAAGGAAAAGGAAGGUUACUGGAGCCCCACAGCCAUUUUGAGUGCACAGCCCCAGCGACCUGCAGACUUCCCACUGGGCCCCACCUCUCCAAGGUUCCUCAUUUCCCAGUAUUGCCAGGCUAGAGACAAAACCUUUGAGGGGCACCAGAUCCAAACUACAGCAGAGAUGGACAGAACCCGAAAUUCUGUCCUCAAAAGGCUCAUCAUCUACUGGGGUUGAGGGAGGUUCAGAGCACCCAGGCACAACAAGUGUAAAACCUGCUCUCAGAGAGCAGAAUGACCCCACCCCCCAGCGGGAGGGAGAAGGCUCCCAAGGCCCGACCUUCAACUGCAGAAAGCAAAUAGGCAGAGCCCAGCUGGCGAGGAGCCUGGCUGUGGCACCAGGCAUGGAGACUAUGAGCUGAACGGACAUUGCUCACAGUUGAAAUGGCUCAAGAUGGUGUGGUAUGUGUUUGAGUGUGUGCUGCAGGGUUAGAUACUCGGGAUUUCUAACUCUUCAGACAGCACCCAGCCCUUGCAGGCCUCAUGCAGGGGUGGGGAUGUGUGUGUGAGGUCACGUGUGGGCAGGAGGGCAGCCAGAGGAUAUGGAGGAGGAUGGCAGGCCUGGCUGUGAGUAUCAGCUGGGCUGAGGCUGCAGGAAUGAGGAGAGAGACAGGAAACUGGACUGGGAAGUUGGGAACAGCUCAAGUUCAUGAUGGAUCACUGUGAGACUCUGUGCAGCCUGCCCUGAGCAGUGGCACCUAGAAGAAGAGGCAGAAGCACCCCAAGAGGAUGUAUUUCUUUGAGCUGUAAAGCGGGAAGCUUUCUUUCUUCUACCGUGAUGUUUCUGCCUUGGAGCCAGCCUACUGAAACCUCUGAAGCCAUGAGCCCAAAUAAACCUGCCCUCCUUUAAGUUGCAAGUGUCAGAUAUUUUGUUCAUAGCAACAAAAACCUGGCAAAUUCACCCUGAAAACAUCAAGAGAGAGAUGCUCUGGGGAAAAGAUGCUGCUGAUACUCUUGGCCCUUAGUGGCCUCAAUCCUGCAGCCUGGUCCCCACCACAACUUCACCAAAGCAAAUGGGUAUCCCAGGAGCUGACCCCAGGAGCUUGGGGGCUGAGGAACUCUAAGAGAUGCUUUGACCUCCCAGGAGUCAGAACAGGCUGAAAGAGGCAUCUACCUAUCUUAUCUAUUGACGUCAAGUGUUCUUGAAGGCACAUUUGUUGGUGGCACAAGAAAUUCAGCAGAAAUGAGCCUUGGUAAAGAAUAAUGUCCCUAAGAACUUGCUCCUCCAAUAACCAUGGCAGAAAGCACCUGGGAAGUUUCUUACAAUGCAGUCCUCAGCUCCUGCCUGCCUAGAAGUCCUGCUCCAGUGCUGCCUAGAGUCCAUGUUUUAACAGAAACAGUGUUAGUUUCCUGGGCACUUUGGGUGGGAAUGAGCUCUGAGCUGGAGAAUGUUCAGGCUCUCUGCAUACAGAUCUACCUAGGGAAUUUUUCAUAGCCCUGGGUCCAGACCACACCCCAGAUGCACGGAUCCAGAAUGCCUGGAGGAGCAGGGAGGCUGGCUGCAGUAUAGUUCCCCAGGAUACCAGGGCCUAGGAACUCUUCUAGGCUUACCUGCCAGGUUUGGCUCCCCCGACCCUACAUCUCCAUCUCCCUGCAUACCUGCUAAUCAUGAUCUUUACCUGGUUUCCGUCUCUGCUGUGCAUCGAGAAGCUUUCACCUGCCUUCUACACUCUGUGUCCUCACCCUCUGCUCUGCAGCUUCCCCUUGCUCUCCUGCUCGUCCUCUGUGGCUUUCAGCAGGGCUGUAUCUCAGUAUCCUGGCCAGUGGCUGGGCUAUCAUCUCCUCCUGUCUGGAUCCUACCCUCCUCAGUGUGCUGUGGACUGCCUUUCAACACAUGCUGGCAGCAGGCAUCUCCAGAGUUGACACUUUACCAUCCCUGUCACUUCUUCCAUCCUUCCUCUGACUUCCUGGGGUCAGGCUUUGGGCCCUGUUAUACUACCAAACUCUUCUGACCCAUCAGUGGGUUGACCGCCGGUGGAAACACUCCUUGUUUUGGGCACUGCACCUCUCUGGUCCCCCUGCCUGGCUGCUGCACCUCCCAGACCCUCUGGUAAGAUUCUACCCAUUGCCUGUGGCCCAAGCCCACCAGCUCUGAGGAGUCAUUUUCAACCUCCUCUCUCAUCUGUCUAGGUACCUGUAUUUAGACUGCAUCUUUGUUGCCAGUGUGGCUCUGUCCAGCCCAAAUCUGAGCCCUGACUCUCUGGGUCCCUUGACCUGCCAGCCACUAAGAGUACAAGGAGACACUCUCUCAAUGGAAAAAUGGUUUUUUUUAAUAAUUUGGCCAGAUGGAGAGAGAAGCUAGUCUGCUUCACCCUGGAGUGCGUGAAAGUAGUUCAAUUUGUAGAUAAGGCAGAACCCAGAAAACAUACAUGUGUAAAUUUGGCCAAGGCCCCAGCCACAGGGACUCAGGGAAUGUGGUCUUCCUCAGCUGUCAGGAGUUACAGCUGGUGACAGAGCCUCCAGGAAGCCACCCCAGUGCAGGUUUCUGAGCACACUCAAGGGUACUGUAAUCCAGAAAGGAAAAAUGGCAGACAUGAACUGUGCUAUGGGGCACAGCAGGCACAGGGGACCAGGGACAAUGAGCAAUAGCCUCAAGCACCCUCAGAGGCCCCAUGUGCAAUGCAGGGAUGUAAUAGGUCAGUGCUUACCGUCUCAGCCAGAGUACAGAGGCUGACUUCAAUGUGGGCUGUGGGAAAGGGUGUCACAACGCACCAUCCCAUCCAAGGCAAAAGGGAGGCUUUCAGAGGCAAGAGAGAUAGAGAAUCUGCCCUGGGAUUUCCUGGCUAAGUGGGAUUUGAUGACAGGACUUGGAGUGGCUCCUAGGAAAGCAUAGGGGACUCUUGGUUCUAACCAGUGCCCAACCAAAGGCAGAGGGAGCCUUCUCUUCCCUCUCAUAGUGGACUGGUUGCCAAGAACUGAGAUCAAAGACUGCAGAAUGCCCAGCCAGGGCAGGAUGUGGUCAGCUGCAGUGACAGGGCUGCAUAGUCACACCCCUUCCCAGAAGGAGUUUCCUCUCUGCAAAGACUGCCCAAGCAUGCAUGGGAGGGAAGAGAUCAAGGCAGAGGUUGACCCCAAAGUCACACUCAGAGUCCAGCCCCACAGGGAGGGUGGGACCCUGUGUGUCUUGCUGGCUAGGAAAUGUCUUAUUCAUCUUAAAGAUUAUGACAAAGGAGAGGUCCAAACUGUUCCCUGACACCAUGACUAGAGCUCUUGUUUUUGAAG
RNAcentral lists this long non-coding RNA (5733 nucleotides) under Heterocephalus glaber (naked mole-rat). RNAcentral's name for it is "lncRNA (ENSHGLG00000040207.1)". Lineage: Eukaryota; Metazoa; Chordata; Mammalia; Rodentia; Bathyergidae. The record is from RNAcentral.